UUACGACCAGGGCUACACACGUGCUACAAUGGCGCAUACAAAGAGAAGCGACCUCGCGAGAGCAAGCGGACCUCAUAAAGUGCGUCGUAGUCCGGAUUGGAGUCUGCAACUCGACUCCAUGAAGUCGGAAUCGCUAGUAAUCGUGGAUCAGAAUGCCACGGUGAAUACGUUCCCGGGCCUUGUACACACCGCCCGUCACACCAUGGGAGUGGGUUGCAAAAGAAGUAGGUAGCUUAACCUUCGGGAGGGCGCUUACCACUUUGUGAUUCAUGACUGGGGUGAAGUCGUAACAAGGUAACCGUAGGGGAACCUGCGGUUGGAUCACCUCCUUACCUUAAAGAAGC
This 344-nucleotide ribosomal RNA is filed under the name Shigella boydii. RNAcentral's name for it is "partial 16S ribosomal RNA". It matches the Rfam family "Bacterial small subunit ribosomal RNA", at positions 1202 to 1533 of the family's 1533-position model. The record is from RNAcentral. Lineage: Bacteria; Pseudomonadati; Pseudomonadota; Gammaproteobacteria; Enterobacterales; Enterobacteriaceae. RNAcentral also lists the same sequence under 1 other name.